GACAGCUAAGAUCAAAACAGAUCCCUAUGGUUAAGGUUUUGUAGAGGAGCCAGUCAGUGGAAGAGUGCACCUGGGAGUCAGAACGGGACAUGCGUAGCAAGUACCCUUAUCUGUUCAAUGUGUAAUCAUAUACUUUAUUCUGCCUUGUGUAAAAUUCGAGGACGAAUUUUCUGUAAGGAGGGAAGAAUGUAACACCCCUGAUUUUUAUAUAUUAUUAUUGGGCUUCGUGUAGGUAUCCUCAAUUCGCGGAAAUUCGACAGUUGUCCGGAUCUGUGAAUUUCCGGCCAGACAGACCAGCUACCGGAAAAGUCUCCGAAUUGGAUCGAGAAUUUUGGCUACCCCACCAUUGUUAGGCAUCCCGAGCACGUUCCCGAAGUCGGAAUCGGCAAAGGUGAGCCGGGACAGCCUUCUUCCUCCGCCCAGCCGCCACAGUAAUUUGUCGUCAAGUUUGUGAGUAAAAUAUUAAUUUUAAUUAUAAUUUCGAUAUUAUUAUAUGUUCAGCAUGCCCAUGCAUCACUUAUAUGCAUAUAUUUAUGUAGUUAAACUCUAGGCACGAUUUAUGUUGCAUUCAUAACUGUUGAUGUACCAUGGAUGUUGUUGUGGUAAUUUGGAGCAGUGUGCGUGCGUUGGCGUGCGUGUGAUGUGGUGUGGACUAUGGAUAGGACGGGGUAGUCACGGCUUGAGUAAUUCGCUGGGACCCUCGAUUUGGUUAUUAAGUGGAAGU
Hevea brasiliensis (rubber tree) is the source of this 724-nucleotide long non-coding RNA. RefSeq lists it as uncharacterized. The record is from RefSeq and is a predicted model, not a curated record. The transcript is spliced from 2 exons. NCBI's taxonomy places the organism in Eukaryota, Viridiplantae, Streptophyta, Magnoliopsida, Malpighiales, Euphorbiaceae.